UGGGGAAUAUUGGACAAUGGGCGCAAGCCUGAUCCAGCAAUGCCGCGUGUGUGAAGAAGGCCUUCGGGUUGUAAAGCACUUUUAUCAGGAGCGAAACGCUGUCGGCUAAUACCCGGCGGAACUGACGGUACCUGAGGAAUAAGCACCGGCUAACUUCGUGCCAGCAGCCGCGGUAAUACGAAGGGUGCAAGCGUUAAUCGGAAUUACUGGGCGUAAAGCGUGCGUAGGCGGUUUCUUAAGUCUGCUGUGAAAUCCCCGGGCUCAACCUGGGAAUGGCAGUGGAUACUGGGAGGCUAGAGUGUGUCAGAGGGUGGUGGAAUUCCCGGUGUAGCGGUGAAAUGCGUAGAGAUCGGGAGGAACAUCAGUGGCGAAGGCGGCCACCUGGGACAACACUGACGCUGAGGCACGAAAGCGUGGGGAGCAAACAGGAUUAGAUACCCUGGUAGUCCACGCCCUAAAAGCGAUGCGAACUGGAUGUUGGUCUCAACUCGGAGAUCAGUGUCGAAGCUAACGCGUUAAGUUCGCCGCCU
Molecule: ribosomal RNA, 530 nt
Filed under: uncultured bacterium
Lineage: Bacteria
Description: partial 16S ribosomal RNA
Rfam family: Bacterial small subunit ribosomal RNA
Source: RNAcentral